This 253-nucleotide ribosomal RNA is filed under the name uncultured bacterium. RNAcentral describes it as "partial 16S ribosomal RNA". It matches the Rfam family "Bacterial small subunit ribosomal RNA", at positions 524 to 776 of the family's 1533-position model. The record is from RNAcentral.
UACGAAGGGGGCUAGCGUUGUUCGGAAUUACUGGGCGUAAAGCGUAUGUAGGCGGAUCGUUAAGUCGGGGGUGAAAUCCCGAGGCUCAACCUCGGAACUGCCUUUGAUACUGGCGGUCUCGAGUCCGGGAGAGGUGAGUGGAACUGCGAGUGUAGAGGUGAAAUUCGUAGAUAUUCGCAAGAACACCAGUGGCGAAGGCGGCUCACUGGCCCGGUACUGACGCUGAGGUGCGAAAGCGUGGGGAGCAAACAGG